GACGAACGCUGGCGGCGUGCUUAACACAUGCCAGUCGAACGGAAAGGCCCUGCUUUUGUGGGGUGCUCGAGUGGCGAACGGGUGAGUAACACGUGAGUAACCUGCCCUUGACUUUGGGAUAACUUCAGGAAACUGGGGCUAAUACCGGAUAGGAGCUCCUGCUGCAUGGUGGGGGUGGGAAAGUUUCGGCGGUCGGGGAUGGACGCGCGGCUUAUGAGCUUGUUGGUGGGGUAGUGGCUUACCAAGGCUGUGGCGGGUAGCCGGCCUGGGAGCGGGGCCGGCCACAAUGGGCCUGAGAGACGCAGCAGACGCGAACGGGGGACAACAGGGGGAAGUAUUGCCCAAUGAGCGCGAGCGUGAUGCAGAGGCGCCGCGUGCGGAAUGACGGCCUUCGGGUUGUGAACCGCUUUCGCCUAUGACGAAGCGUGAGUGACGGUAAUGGGUGAAGAAGCACCGGCUAACUACGUG
RNAcentral lists this ribosomal RNA (468 nucleotides) under uncultured bacterium. Its description in RNAcentral is "partial 16S ribosomal RNA". It matches the Rfam family "Bacterial small subunit ribosomal RNA", at positions 28 to 507 of the family's 1533-position model. The record is from RNAcentral.